GGCUGGUUGAAGGCAGCGAGUUCUCGCUACUGAGUGUUUGGUCGGCUACAGAGCAGACCCUUGUUCCGUCCCCUCUUCUCACUACCAGACCUGACCAGUCUGAG
This 104-nucleotide small RNA is filed under the name Propithecus coquereli (Coquerel's sifaka). RNAcentral's name for it is "Y RNA (ENSPCOG00000004793.1)". The record is from RNAcentral. Lineage: Eukaryota; Metazoa; Chordata; Mammalia; Primates; Indriidae.